Molecule: transfer RNA, 60 nt
Filed under: Cordylochernes scorpioides
Lineage: Eukaryota; Metazoa; Arthropoda; Arachnida; Pseudoscorpiones; Chernetidae
Description: tRNA-Ser
Source: RNAcentral
UGCAUCGGCCGGGAAUCAAAUGCGUGGCAGACGAGCAUUCUACCACUGAACCACCGAUGC